UAAAAACCCCGACUUCGGAAGGGGUGUAUUUAUUAGAUACAAAACCAAUGCCCUUCGGGGCUCUUUGGUGAUUCAUGAUAACUAUACGAAUCGCACGGCCUUGCGCCGGCGAUGGUUCAUUCAAAUUUCUUCCCUAUCAACUUUCGAUGUUUGGGUAUUGGCCAAACAUGGUUGCAACGGGUAACGGAGGGUUAGGGCUCGACCCCGGAGAAGGAGCCUGAGAAACGGCUACUACAUCCAAGGAAGGCAGCAGGCGCGCAAAUUACCCAAUCCCGACUCGGGGAGGUAGUGACAAUAAAUACUGAUACAGGGCCCUUUCGGGCCUUGUAAUUGGAAUGAGUACAAUUUAAAUCCCUUAACGAGGAACAAUUGGAGGGCAAGUCUGGUGCCAGCAGCCGCGGUAAUUCCAGCUCCAAUAGCGUAUAUUAAAGUUGUUGUGGUUAAAAAGCUCGUAGUUGAACCUUGGGCCUGGCUGGCCGGUCCGCCUCACCGCGUGCACUGGUCCGGCCAGGCCUUUCCCUCUGUGGAACCCCAUACCCUUCACUGGGCGUGGCGGGGAAACAGGACAUUUACUUU
RNAcentral lists this ribosomal RNA (576 nucleotides) under uncultured eukaryote. RNAcentral describes it as "SSU rRNA". It matches the Rfam family "Eukaryotic small subunit ribosomal RNA", at positions 174 to 758 of the family's 1831-position model. The record is from RNAcentral.